GUGGUGUUUGUGGCUUCGCUGGCGCCGCGAAGAAACCGUGUCCGAGGUGCGUUUUGUCGCGACGACAUCCAUGCUCCUGUAAGAAACUGCAGUCCAGUGGUUGCCCUGUGGAGCUGGAUCCGGCCUUUUGGAAACACGGCCUGCUCAUGAGUCACGAAGUAGGAGCUGAAGAGAACUCUAAUGCUGGUACACGCCUCACGAAUACAAAGAACCUUGGUGAAUGCAUUACUGUCGUCAUAUUGUCAUGCCGGGCCCUUUCCAAGGUCGUCGGACAGGUCAAGGUUAGCACGCAGUACAGCGUGCCUUUGGCUGACAAGUCCGUCGGAUGCUCCUUCAAAGCAGAGAGCGUGUCAAGGAGUACGCAGACUACAGAGACUGUGGAUGAGUCGAGCUGUA
This is a long non-coding RNA of Dermacentor andersoni, 396 nucleotides long. RefSeq lists it as uncharacterized. The record is from RefSeq and is a predicted model, not a curated record. Lineage: Eukaryota; Metazoa; Arthropoda; Arachnida; Ixodida; Ixodidae.